Molecule: long non-coding RNA, 1176 nt
Filed under: Pan troglodytes (chimpanzee)
Lineage: Eukaryota; Metazoa; Chordata; Mammalia; Primates; Hominidae
Description: lincRNA
Source: RNAcentral
UCUCUGCCGCUGGCGUGGGGGCGGGGGCCGGGGACAGUGUCUUCAGCAAAAGUCUGCGGAUAAAAAGGCCCCGCCCCUGUCCGGACAGCAGGCAUGGGAGAGCCGCCUCCUCCCCCAGCCCCAUGGAGCAGGGCAGAAACGCUGCCCACUGCCCUGCUCCUGCCACCAGGAAGGGCGUGUGGGGGGCCACUUUCUGUAAAGAAGAAACCUCCUGAGCAACAAGUGGCUCAAGGCACCCUUGUCUAACGACCAGGGACACUGAGCGCCACGGCCCAAGUCACCAGCAAGAGAAAACCCAGGCGGAGCCCAGGGUGUCCCCCACUGCCCACCAGCCACUGCGGUCAACGUGAAGGGCAAGGGUGCAAGCGGGAUCGCGUCACAGGGAGCCGAGUGCGCCCAGAAAAGUAGGAGAAGGACGUUUCCACCCACCUGGAGCGCAGUCCGUUUGCAGCCGGCGGCAGAAUGCUGCUGUCUCCAUAAAUAAAGUCCAUGUUAGCCACCUAGAGGAUAAAAUACCACGAGGAGGAGUAGCAAGGUGCCCCUGUUGACAGAUCUUGAAGCAGAAGCUCACUCCCAGAAGCACAGCUGCCUAGUCAACAAACAGCUGACAAUACAUGUCUGAAGGAGCUCAGCUGGGAACAGAAUGGCCCCACUGAGCCUAGCCUAAAUGGCUGACCAUCUCAAUUAUGAGCUAAUAAGUUUUGGAUGAUUUGUUAUGCUGCCAUACCUAACUAAUACAUGCACCCAGUGCAGAUUGGGUGCCAAGAUUUAAAGACAGUUUGAUUACUAGUCACCUUCUAACAGUGGGCACCCUAAAGGUACUGACAUUUUUCCCGAUUUAAAGUUAAAUCUCUUGUAAGGCAAUGUUGACUAAUGCAGGAAUACUUGUAGACAUGUAUGCAUGUGAUUGGUGCUUAUAUGCACACAGUCCCCCGCACCACAGGAAAAAAACAAAAACGAGAGCCUGACCAUUAUGGCCACGGCCAAAUAGCCAAAGUUUGCCUUUAAUCUAUUUUCUUCAUAUCUAAAAAUUGGAGGUCAAUACUGUGGACAGGUCUGAAGACAUAGAGUUUUGUUCUCCUGUGGCCCCAUCAUUCUUCAGUGGUCUACCUGUGGUUAUUUUGUUCUUGUUACCUUCUGCUCUUUCUAUGACCACUAUCUGUUCCACCCUUGGAA